This 429-nucleotide ribosomal RNA is filed under the name Acidobacteriota bacterium. Its description in RNAcentral is "Acidobacteria bacterium partial 16S ribosomal RNA". It matches the Rfam family "Bacterial small subunit ribosomal RNA", at positions 355 to 776 of the family's 1533-position model. The record is from RNAcentral. Lineage: Bacteria; Pseudomonadati; Acidobacteriota.
UGGGGAAUUUUGGACAAUGGGGGAAACCCUGAUCCAGCCAUCCCGCGUGUGCGAUGAAGGCCUUCGGGUUGUAAAGCACUUUUGGCAGGAAAGAAACGUCAUGGGUUAAUACCCCGUGAAACUGACGGUACCUGCAGAAUAAGCACCGGCUAACUACGUGCCAGCAGCCGCGGUAAUACGUAGGGUGCAAGCGUUAAUCGGAAUUACUGGGCGUAAAGCGUGCGCAGGCGGUUCGGAAAGAAAGAUGUGAAAUCCCAGAGCUCAACUUUGGAACUGCAUUUUUAACUACCGCGCUAGAGUGUGUCAGAGGGAGGUGGAAUUCCGAGUGUAGCAGUGAAAUGCGUAGAUAUGCGGAGGAACACCGAUGGCGAAGGCAGCCUCCUGGGAUAACACUGACGCUCAUGCACGAAAGCGUGGGGAGCAAACAGG